UUUCCGUAGGUGAACCUGCGGAAGGAUCAUUAUUGUAUAACCGAGGUGCGAGGGCUGUCGCUGACCCGACGGGACGUGCACGCCCGAGUGCCCUGACACACAUCCAUCUCACCCCUAUGUGGAACACCGCGUGGGUCCCCGUCUGGCGUGUUGGGGGGGGGGCUUACGUUUUCACACAAACUUUGUAUGCAGUGUAGAAUGUAUUUUUUGUUUUUGCGAUCACGCAAUCAAUACAACUUUCAACAAUGGAUCUCUUGGCUCUC
This 263-nucleotide unclassified non-coding RNA is filed under the name plant metagenome. RNAcentral's name for it is "partial contains small subunit ribosomal RNA, internal transcribed spacer 1, and 5.8S ribosomal RNA". The record is from RNAcentral.